UACGUAGGGUGCAAGCGUUGUCCGGAAUUAUUGGGCGUAAAGAGCUCGUAGGCGGUCUGUCGCGUCGGCUGUGAAAACUCGGGGCUCAACUCCGAGCUUGCAGUCGAUACGGGCAGGCUAGAGUUCGGCAGGGGAGACUGGAAUUCCUGGUGUGCGGUGAAAUGCGCAGAUAUCAGGAGGAACACCGGUGGCGAAGGCGGAUCUCUGGGCCAUAACUGACGCUGAGGAGCGAAAGCAUGGGAGCGAACAGG
RNAcentral lists this ribosomal RNA (251 nucleotides) under uncultured bacterium. Its description in RNAcentral is "partial 16S ribosomal RNA". It matches the Rfam family "Bacterial small subunit ribosomal RNA", at positions 524 to 776 of the family's 1533-position model. The record is from RNAcentral.